AAAUCCAAAUCCUAAUUCCUUUUGAUUUUUAUCACCUCUUAAGUUAUAAAUCUCUAUAGAAGUUAAGAAAAACACUCAAAAAUACUAUUGAUUUCUCCAUUGUCAAGCUUGUGAGUUUUUCAAGUUUUUGAUCAAACGUUUGGAUUUUCGUUAAUUAAGGUAACAAUUCAUCUUUCUAUUAGUUUUUAAUGUUAUCUAGUCUUUUACACGAAAAUUUUAGCCUUUAAAUCGCAUAAUUUUAAUAAAAAUCGAAAAUUGGGUUGUUAAUGGUGAAUUUCGGGAUUUUGGUUAAUAACAUGGUUUCAAAGUAUUUUUCAAUUAGUUUUGAUGUAACUAGAAGCUUUUUAAACUUACUUUUAAGUUUCAUUAAAGAAAUCUUGAGUUUUUAUGAAUUUUUGGAAAAUAGCCGUAAAAUAUGUCGAAAAAGUCGAUACUAUGAAUUGAGUAUUUUAUUAUAAUUUAAAGGUUGGGAAUUAGUCGUAGGUGAAUUAUAAGAUUUAUAAGAUGAACUGAAUUAGUUUUAGGUGAAAAUAUUGAGUAUAGACCGAGAUAUUUGAGUUUUAAGUUUGUUAUGUUAAAGGUUUCGGUUACAUGAUAAGGUUUAGGCUUAUAUUUUUUAUUACUUGUGGUGAGUUCUUAGCCGAUUAUUGAAUGCAUUGUUGUGGAAGUUGUCGUGUUGAAGUUCCAGAUUGGAUAGGACGUUCUAUGAAUAGAGAUAAAGGCAAGAAAAAGAAAGUUUGAGAUUUCGGCUUUUCGACGAAAGCGUAAUUGGUGAGUGUUUGGAACAAUUGCUUCUGAACAUGAUUCAAUGUAUUAUUUGGGAAUUUAGUAGCAGCUUAAACCCCUCCUCUAAACUCCAAGUGUAAGCUUUCUCAUACCUAUGUUAUCUUAUGAACUAUGUGUUUAUGUAUUUGUGAAUAUGUGAUUUAAGAUGAGAUUCUAUAACAUGUGAUAUGUGGUUAUGAUAACUGUUAUGAAAGUGCAAACAUGUACAUGUUAUGUAUAUGUUAAAUGUUAGUGACAAUGUUUUGCUAAAAAAGCAAAUAUGCAGUUAUACUGCAUAGAUAAUCGGUAAGUGAUAUGUGUUUGUUUCGGAUAUUUUGAUCUUUUGAUCUUGAAACCAUUGGAUAAAGUUGGCAUGCCAUAGGAUUAUGAGUACUCACCUAUAUGUACAGUGAUUUGGGGCGUUGAGGCCCUGGGGCAUGUUGGAAGGAUAAGGGAAUGGGAGCUAAGCUCCAUUCAACGACACAAGCGAGGGGACAUAAGGAAAGUGUUAGCUAUAUGCUUCACUUCUGGGACAUGUUUGACUCUAUGAGUCUAUGUGGCGUGUUGGAGAUCCGUGUAUCCGAUGAGUGAUGAUAGAGCUCACUUAUAUGUUUCAUAGCUCAAGUGUCAAAUUAUCUUAAAUUAUGAAUGUUAUGUGAUUAUAAGAGUAUUGUGAUAUAUGCUUAAAUGUUAUGUGAUUAUUUGAAUAUUGCGAUAUAUGCUUAAAAGUGAAUGUGAUUACCAUGUAAAUGAACUAGUAAAUAAUGCAUGAGUGAGUAUAAUGUAAAACUAGUGUUGGAACUGUUGAGGUUGUGAUAUAUGGUUGCUUCAUUUAUGCUUGAUGAAUUGUUUGCAUGGUAGUUAUUCUAGGCAUUCACUGAGCUUGUUAAGCUCACCCACUCCCUUCUUAAACUAUUGCAAAUUAGUUGUGUGCUGGUAUGAGUAGUGUGGUUUUCGAGGGGUGAUUCCAAGCAAGUCAUUUUCUGUUAUUUCGUAAGUGUUAUUGUUAUUUUUUUUCAUUUUGGGAAUAAGGCAAUAUGGUAGACUUUUUGUUGGUAUUUUCCAUGAUGUUUUGGAUGCUUCCAUUGACUAUAUGCUUCCAACUUUAUGAUAUUUGUUUCGUAUUAUGUUAAUUAUAGCUCGGACUUACUUUUGAUGUUUGAGACUAGUAUUGCAGCCAUUUCAACAUUUAUUUGAUGAUGAUAUGAUAGCAUGAGGAAUUGGUACAAGCUGGAAUGACUUAUAUGCUUAAAAAUGUUGUAUUUUUCUAGUAUGGAGCAGAGGUAUCAAUAUUCAUGUUGUAAAAACAAUAUCUCUGUAAUUUGAAAUGUGUAGGAAGUCAGAAUUGUAAAUUGGUAUCAAUACCAUAACACGAGUAUCGAUACUCGAGGUAGUUUUAUUGAUACUUUUACAAAGGUACCAAUAUUUUUCGAGACUUUGAUUUUAGACCAGAAAUAGAAUGUUGAUUUGGUAUUGAUUUUCCAUACGGUAUCAACACCGUACCACGAAAAUAUCGAUACCCUUAUCUUAGUAUCGAUAUCUACGUGAUUUUCUUGAAAAUUUUGCUAAGUGGUCCUAAUGCAUGUUUAAUUAUUAUUAUUAUAAGUUUAUUUAAAGUAUGUUUGGCAUGUUCUAAUGAUGAUUGAUAAAUGUUUGACUAAAAAUUUAUAAGAUCACUGAUAAAGAAGAUGAUUUCUUAAUACUGACAAUUUACUAUGAGUGUGAUAUGAGACGAUGGUGUGGCAUCUUAAUAUUCGGGCUUGGCAACUAGGCUGAGUAUAGGGUGUUACAGAGGUGGUGUGUAGCAAAUGGGGGUAGGAUUUGUUUUGAUAUGCUAUAUGUUCUGAAAUUUGAAAAAAAAACAUAUGUUCUGAAAAUUUUGAUCUGACAUUUGCAUAUGUGUAUGUUAUGAGUAAGAAAAUUCUGUAUGUGGGUCAAGUCACACAUUGGGCUUCUAGCUCAUUCAUUUUUGUUUCAUUUCAGGUGACCCUGAUGCAUAGGUUUGGGCAGCGAUUCUGGAGCUCUAUUUGCACAUUUUGGUUUAAGUAUGAUUUAGAUUAAAUUUCAGACUUUAUGAACUUUCUGAUUUUAACUUUGUUUUGGGACGUUAAAUUUGGUUUUGGUAAUUAUUUCAAAAAUGUACUAUUUAUAAUUCGUAAUUAUAUCCAAGACGACAUAACUAAUGGUAUUUAUGGUUUUAAAAGUUAAGGAUUUAUAAUGUAUUUUUCCGCUGGAAGGUUUUGAAACGAAAUGUGAUGUUUUACAACUCAAUUGCUUGAGCUUAUGGGAUUGGUUUAAUAAAAUUAACAAAACAAGUUUUUCGUCAAAGUACUCACACACGAUCUUCUGAUUACUCGUGUUUUGAUAAAUUAAAUAACUUAAUUACUCGGAUGAUAAAACUAAGUUUUCACGUAAAUUAAUCGACAAUGUUUUUUACGUAAUAAUGUAACCUUCAUAAUCCAACCGUAACUUCUAGGUCGGGUUUGGGGUGUUACACACCUUCUUAACUCAUAUAUUUAGUUGCAAUAUUCUCACUUCCAAUGUUGGUACGUCGAAAGGCAGUCAACCAUUGAUCCCUUUUAUUUCCCCUUUAAUUUCAGCCAAAAUGAUGGGUUAAUUGCCCAAACAGCCCUUAGGGUUCCCAAAACCUAAACAAUUUACCCCACCUUCUCCCAAUUGAAUUAGAAUUUCCCCUAAUCAAAUCCUAACAAGACUUCUGUCAACUUUUACUAUAUCUUCUCCUAUUUCUUUUCUUUUCUCUUCUUUACAUGAAUUUUUUACAUCAUCUAGCUACCAAAUAUUUUUGCUUUUCAACAGUAGAUCGUUCUCCAUUGGUUGAUUUUCCACCAGAAUCCUAAUUACUAUCAAAUCACAACCCUAGUCUUCGCCAAAGAAUCGAUAAGAACAUUCCAAUCCCAAUGUUUAAUUCUUAAAUUCCUGUAGAAUUUCUAUACACACUAAUUUUAAGAUCGAUUAAAUAAUCUUUUAUUAAUCUUGUCGAAAUUUUCGAUAAUCUUGAUAAAUCUUGAAAUUCAUUAUUAAUUCUAGUGUAAAUAUCGUUUGAAGGACUCGAUUUAGGUACCUCAUACCAAAUUUAAGCACAAAGAAAAACGUUCGAGAUCUUGGAGAUAGGUGUGUGUUCUUUUAGAAGCGAAUUGGGGCAAACCAUGCCUCAAAAUAGAGCCACACAGGCUUUUGGACCACACGGCCUGCCACAGGGUCGUGUCUCCCUUAUACCUUGAUUUUGCAAUUUCCACACAGCUCGGCCACAUGACCGUGUAACCCAUCCACACAACUUAAGGCAUUGCACACGACCUGGCCACAUAGACUUGUGUCCUUAUUUUAUAGUUUUGCCCAAAAAUUUUAUAAAUUGUUCAAUUUUGUCCCUGUAUGAUUUGUAAACUAUUUUUAGGGUUUUAUCUCUUAUAAUUAGGUCCCUAAUACUUUUAAUAAUGUGAAAUAUAUUAUUUGAUUGGUUAGAUUAUUACUCUUUAUGCAUGAUAUGCGAUUGAAACUUGUUUACUAUCAUCGAAUUAUUGAUGUAUUGUCACUAAUACCUGCACUAUAGUAUUUUUAAUUGCAUGAACAACAUGCCUAUUGUUAUUAAUAAACUGAAAUUAUGACAUUCAUGUCCACUGCUACUGUUAAAAUGAGUACAAGUUAUGCAUGUCCACUGUUUCUGUACUGUACAGUGAAUAACAUGUCGCAUUGCAUUGCAUGGGACGAGAUGCUGUGAAAGGAGGAAGUACUGACAGUUUUAACUAUAAACACUGGUGGUUUAUCCACAAAUUAUUGGUAGCUUUUAUCUGCAAACCCGUUGUUUAUUUACAACUACUGGCAUUGUAUUAACCUGCAAGCACUCGUGGUUUAUCCAUAAUUUAUACUGGCAGCUAUUAUCUAUAAAAUCAUUGUGUAUCCACAAUUACUGGUAGCAUAUUAACCUCCAAGACUGGUGGUUUAUCCAUUUACUGGAGUGUCCGAGAUGUAAGAAUUCUGAGAAACUCUUACUAAGGAGUGUAGCGGUGGGGUAAGACCUAUUUAUAUUGUUAAACUUAAAUUUCUAUGUAUUGCAUCAUCAUGUACAAGCAUGCUCGAAUGAACUGUCAAUUUAUGCUAUGCUAUAUGAUUGCUAAUGUAUGGUAAACUAUUGUUACAUACGCUUGGAUUACUAUUUGACACUAAUUUACUUGUGAUGGAACUCACAUUGAGCGUCAUAGCUCACUCCCCCAUAAUAUUCAUCCUUAUAGAUAACCCACUAGGCUAGGACACAGGUGCGACAUUCGGACGAUCUCGACUUCGUUGUUUUUAUCAAGUUAUUUUAGGCUCACUAUUUUAUCAUUAUUAUUCAAGACUAUACUAUUUUAUUUCAAACUAUGGCAUGGAACUUAAGAAUUGAAUUUUUAUAUUGCAUGAUACUUAAUUUAAGUUUUAAGAUAACUAGAUAUGAUUAUAAAUGAGUUAUGCAUGAAUCCCUAGUUUUUAUUAAACAACCACAUAUCAAAUGUUUAAAAAUGUUUUUUUUUUCAAAACAACCACUUAAUUAAAGUUUUGAGGAAUAAAAUGUUGAUAUUUAACUAAUUCUUUUACUUUAACAACUGUUUAAAAAUAUUUGUUUUCAAAACUUCAAUAGUCCACUGGGUCACUUCGGUGGCUAAUGCAAUCUUUCGAAUUUGGGUCUAAUAUCUAGACUGGGUUGGGGAGGUUACAGCUUCAUAGCUCACCCUUUUUUAUUUUCCAUUUCUACAGACAACUCAUCAGGUUAGGACGUGGACAAGGGAUCCGGAGGGUCUCGACACAAUUUUUUUAUUAAAAUAUUUUAAAAUUAUCAUUUGAUAUUUUUAUUAGUUAGAGACUGUAUUAAAAUAUUUUGAACUGUGGCAUGAGUUUGAUGACUUGUUUUCUUUUAGCAUGCAUAACAUUUAAUCUAAUUUUAGGAUGUCAAAGCAUGAACAUUAAUUAAUUAUGCAUGAACUUCGGUUCUUAUUAAAAAAUGUAAACUGUUAUAAAUUUUUUCGUUGCUAAAUUUUAAUUGAAGAUUUUGAGUAACAGGUAAAUAGGAAAUUAACUAAGUUUUUAAAAGAAAAGUAGACAUCAUUACAUAAAUAAUCUAAAUUGGUUUCUUGAUAACUCAUGAGCUUUUAUGAAAAAAAAGAACAAGUUUUCUAAUGUUUAAAUAUGUCAGAUUUAAAAAAUUCGAUAACUUAUUGGGUCACCUCAGUGGUUAAUGUAAUCUCUCGAAUUCGGGUCUAACGUCUAGGUCGGGUUGGGGAUAGGAGCGAAGGCAGAAAAUUUUUUUAAGGGGCAGAAUUAAAUUUUAAUUUUUACUAUAGUAAAAUGCAGUUUCACCAUUUGAAUAGCCUAUAUCUUUUAUAAUUUUUAAAGGAUUAAAUCAAUUUUUUAAUCAUUUUUAGGGGGACCAAAGUGAAAUUUUACCUUUACUAAUUUAAAUUUUUUAAAAAUUAAAGGUCCUAAAUAAAAAAAAUUCAUUUUAGGGGGGCCAGGGCCCCUGCUAGCCCCCUAGCUACACCCCUGGUUGGGAAGGUUACAAGAAUUGCCAAAAGAUCACAAGCCAAUAGUGAAAACCCAUUAAAUUCUUAAAAGAGUUUAAAUUAAAUUGUUAAUUUUUAAAGGGACAAAAAUGAAAAUUUUCCAUUAAACAAAGGGAUAAAAAUUCUUAAAUUAAAUAGUUAAUUUUUAGAAGUACAUAAAAUUGCAGUUAUCCCAUUUAGUCAAGAGAGGGCCUUACAUGCACCUCAGCUUCACCCCUAUGCAAUUUAUAUUAUCUAUAAUAUAUACAAAAUCACAAAAGCUUUUAUUUGGGAACUAGCUAGAAGCUUAAUUGCUUAAGCAAUGUCCUUUUCUUUUUCUUAUCACGAAGAUCUAUGCAUAUGCAAAAUAUGUGCAUGAAAUUAGUUGUACCUAACUGUACUUUAGAACUACCAUGCAUAUAUUAAACAUUAUGAAAAUGUUGUACCUACCUCAAUUGUCAUCUUAUGCCUAAUGAAAAAAUUUAUCACGCUUAAUAUUAUAAAAAUAAUAAUAUAGUUAAAAAUGUGUCUAGUUAAAAAUUGAAUAUAGUUUUUGUUAAAAUUUUAUUAGGUAGUAGUUAGAGAUUUUGUUUAACAUCUUGCUGAUACGGGUUUAAACUAAUAUUUUUGGAAUUAGAUCGGUGAUUAAAUUGAUUAGGUCACUGGUUCGUUGGUCUGAUCAAUUCGAUUCAAAAAUCAUUAAAAAUUUAUAAAAAAAUAAAAAAAAUCCAAUAACAUCUCAAAUAAUAGAAGUAAGAAGUUAGUACGAUAUACCAAUUCAUCUAAACCCCAAUCAUAAUUAGAUACGUGAUGUCUUAGGAUUAAGACAACUUACGUAUAUAAGCUAAGGCCCCAUUGAGAGAAGUAAGCAAGAGCGUUCCCACCAAAAUCAAGUGGCUCCCAUCUCUUUACAUAUGACCUUUGACUAUCAUAUAGCUCUUCACCUUUCUUCACCUUACAAUCUUUUUUGUGUAUCAACAAUGUAUUAUUAUUUAGAUCACUAAUAGUGAAUAGAACUAUACAUUAUAGGUAUAUGUGUAUACAUUAUAGGUAUAUAUCAUUGAACUAUGUAUCAUAAAUUGUAAUAAAAAAAUAAGAAUCUUGUAUCAUAAUUUUAUCGAAUAGGGACUAAAAAAUAUUAAAUGAAUUAAACUUAUUUUAAAAAUAAAUACCAUAAUAAUGACAAUUUAAUCAAAUGUAUUUAUAAAUAAUUUUACAUUUCAUCUAACAAACGCUUAAAUUUUAUAUCCAACCAAAUGGAACAAAUAAGAGAACGAAACGUAUCAUUAAAACAGAUGUAGUUAAGUAAUUUACGCAACACUAGCCCUUGCAUGUUCCGAGCAAGAGCAAGAAGUAGGUUUAGGAGAGUGGAGACGAAGGCCAACGAGAGUCACGAGGAGGAUAAUGUGAGAGGGAGAUUUGACAUUCCAAGUUUUGUUCUUUUCUCUAUUAAAGUAAUCUAAUCAGCUUUCAUAAUAUGAACUAAGGUCGCAUUUGGUAUGAAGUUAAUUUUAAACAAUCAUAUCACUAUGAUGGCUUUUUAACCAAUAUAUUAUACAAAAAAAAUGUACUACUUUUUUUUAGGAUAUCUUGAUAUUUAUGAACAUUAGGUUUGUGACAUUUAAAUUCUUCAUAGAUUUCGUGCUCAACUAGGCAAAUAUAGGUGAAGUAGAGCUCCACACUCUUUUAUCAAAUUCAUUUGAUUUUUACUAGGAUUAAUAAAUUUAUUCAAUAUGCUAUAUCGGAUACUAAAAAAGAGUGUGUAACAAACUUUAUUUUUUAUUAAAAUCACAUCUAAUUUACAUCGUUAAACACCAUGACUUCAAAAUUUUAAUUAAAAGUAAUAUAUAUAUUUAAAUAAAAUUACAUUGAAAAGAUACUUAUAUAAUAACAUAGUCAAAAACCCUAUACUAAACUCAACACCCAUAACUUCCAAGUUAAUCAGAAAUAAAUUUCUCAUAUUCCUAUUGUCAAAAAUAGUAAUAAAAUAUUUAUUAUAUAUGUCAAAAACUGAACAAAGAUAUAUAUAUUGACCUUGAAGAGUUUUUUUUUAUAAUUUUUGGAACUCUAAAUUUGAUUUAUGAUUUAUUUGAAAUUUUUUAUUUUGGAUAUUUUUUACAUUAUUUUUUGACAUGACAUAGAUGAUAAAAUACUAUCAUGUUGGUAAUGAAAAGUUGAAGAUUAAUUUGCUCCAAAUAAAUGAGUGGGGCAAAAUUGAAUAAAUAUGUAGAGAUGAAGGACUAAAUUUAUUAUAAUGCUCUCUCCCUCUAUAUAUAACACCAAAAUAAGCAUUUUACAGAAAACUUUUAUGAAAGGACCAUUUUUCUUCUUCAUCUAACAUGUAAGGACCAAUUUGCUCAUUUUUCUAUAGAUGCAUCAAAAUGCAAUUUAAAAUAUAGUAUAGAGACUGCAAUUUAAAAGUACUAAACUUAAUUAACUUAUUUAUACUAAUAUUUAUAUUCUAAUUAAAUUGGAGUCACGAGUCAAUCGGGAUAAUUCGGAGAUUACCAACAAAAAUAUUUUUUUAUCUUUUUAUAUUUUAUAUAAAAUUUAAAAAUCUAAACAUGACAAUAGUUAGCCUAACAUACCACAAUUCUAUAAUCUUAACUUUACAUUUUGAACCAAAGUCUCAUUUAUUUUCAAAUAUAAUUUUUUAAAAUUAUUUACAUAAUUUUUUUCACUCAUGUAAUUUAAUAUAUUUUAUAUAAGCAUUUAUAAUUAUAUCUUAUUACUUUAGACAACUAAAUCUAAAAUUAAAAAUAGAUACAAUUUAAUUUUAAUAUUUUUAAGAUCCAAAUUCACUCUACUUAAACUCGAACCGAACCACCAAUAUCAUCCAUCAAUAUAGAAAUCACAAACUGAAAAGAAAAAAAAAAAAAGCAUCACCCAAAUACAACCUCCCAAAGAGGGAAUAAGAUUAGAUUUGGUGGCAGUGAAAAACAGAUAGAAAUUUCCAUGCACCAACGUUUACGUUGUCCCCCACCUUAUCCGGUUCACAAUCACUUUUUGUUUGUUCUCUUAGCUGUGUUCUAUGAAAAAUACCCAAAUUAGAUUUUAUCCUAGCUCAGUUGAUAUAGUUGCUAUUGCAAUAAUCAAAAUAAUGUGGGCUUAAACACAUUUAAGUGCAUAUUUACCUUCGAUUUAAGAGUUGAGAGGAGUUAGGAGCAGGAGUAGGUAUUAUAUCAAAAAAUACUUUGUUUUCCCCACUUCACUUUAGGUAAACAAAUAAUUAUUUGUACCAAUUAAAAUUUUAAAAAAACUUUUUAAAAGAAUAUAUCAAAAAAAAUUAUAUUUUAGGUCAAAUUAUGGUUAUAGUCUCUCUAUUAUGUAUAAAUAUAGGAUUUAAUAUCUCUACUUUUUUUUAUUAAAUUUUGUGUGUUAUAAAUUUUAAGAGAAUUUUACGUCAUCAUUUAACUCAAAAUGGUUAAGGAUGUUUUUUUUUAUCUCAAAAGCCAACCUCUUUAUUGAUGAAUUAAACAAAGUAAAAAGACAAUUAAAUGAACCAAAAAUCAAAAGGAAAAUACGAAAAGGAAACCCUCAGCCAUGGGAUUUCGACCAGCGGCUACUCAAACAAAACAUUAACUGAUACGAGUCACAAAGGCCCAACCCAAGCCCAAGAACGUGAUGGGCUCAAAUUACCACAAGGCCUAAUAACAAGAUCAAAGGCCCGACAAAUGCGUUCCAAAAUAAACGGGACCAUUCAGGAGUUUGUUAGCAAGGCCUUAGAUGCGUACAUGAAAGAAAGAGAAAAUCAAUAUUCACUUUCUUGAUUUCAAGAAAAUCUAGAAACCGAAUCUUGGCCCAAUCUUGCUGUUUGGAGCGAUUUCAAGAAUCAAGAAAAUCAAGAUUUCAAAUCUUGGAAAACUUCGUCCAAGAAACUAAACCUUGCAGCCAAAGCGCAUUGGAUCUCCGUUACGAGCAUCAACGAACCAAUUUCGGUAGGAGAUGGAAUACAAGCCCCAAGUUCUUGAAGGCAAGGCCCAAUAAGAUGAUUCCAAGCCCAACCAAGAAGACAAACCAUACUUACUUGAAAAUCUGGCCAAAUUGUCAAAGUGGCCCAAUUUGUAAAGUUUUAUUUUUUUUAAAUACUUAGUUUAAAUUUUUAUGUAAAUAUUCAGUCCAAGAGGCCCAAUUAACAGGCCUUGGCUGAAUUUCCAUUUAAAAUUAAAAUAAUUAGGAGUAUUUUUAGUUUUAGUUUUCUAAACAGAUUAGGAAAACAUUUGAAAAGCCUAUAUAAAGGCUUGGCCGGCCACCUUGUUAGACACUUUCUCAAUUAUAUUAAAAAUUUCAGAUUUGUUUAAGUGCAGAAUUCUCCUUGAGUUUUUCUCCAAGAAUUCUCUCUUGAGUUUUCUUUAGAAGUUGUUUUAACAAUCUUUUGAUUGUGGGAGCCAUCUUCAGCCUUCUUCUUGCCAUUGAUAUUCUUUGGAGGGGAGAUUAGAGCCGUUUGAAGGGAGUUGUGAGAUCUUUCGGGAUUUCAAGGCUUCUUAGGACUUAUCUUUUAAUUUCUUGCUGUCAAUUUUUUCUUUUAAAAUCUUCUUGUGUCGAUUUUAUUUAAUCACUUUGUUUGCUGUUCUUGUUGCGUUUUAGGCGUUCCAAAGCAUUCCAAAUCUGAUUCGCCCUCUUCUUUACUAAAGAUCGGAUCGCCCCUUUUGUUCUUGGCAGUAAAAAUUCGUUCAAAAUCCCUAAAUUCCUUAUUCUUGCCGAUUUCUUCUUUUCAGAUUUGGGUUGUUUUGAUUGCUGGAAUUUUGGGGAAAUUUAACUUGCUGUUUGUCAUUCUUUUCAGAUUCGGCAGAUUGGAGUAUUCUUUGGGGUUCAAUUACAUGUUCUUGAUUCCCCAAGAACCCUUAUUAACAUUUAAACCUAUUCUCAAUUUGAUUCUUUGCUGAUUUGGGGAUUUUUAUUUCAGAUCUGGAAAUUCAAAGUUUUAAUCUUUUAAUUUCUGUUUCGUUUCAGAUCUGUUCGUUUAGAGCCUCGUAGGAGUUUUCCGUGACUUGGCAACUUGAUCUUGGUCCGCGCACAACCCGCUAUCAUUUGGUAUCAGAUUUUGGGCGUUUUGGGUGUUCUUGGUUGAUUUCUAAACUGAUCUCUAUUUUUUAAACUACAAACAACAGUUUUACCCAGAAAAAUUUUUGAAAAAAAUUCAUUUGAGUGGGUAAACGUUGUCUGAUUGAUCUAAAAUUUUACAAACAUAUUUUUGGCACUGUGAUUAAAUAUAAAAAAAUAUUUCCCGCAAAAAAGUCUGUCGAAAAAGUCAAAAAAAUUGAAAAAGAUGAAAUCUAAUAAAAAAUUAAAAAAAGAUUCAGAGGGUUGAGUUUGGUGCCCAAACUUUCCAGAUCAAAAAUUCAAUAUUUAAGGACAUUCCAGAUUUAAUUUUGUGAUUUUUGGAGAUCGGGAACACCUCAAACAAAGUUGUCAAGUUACUCCACAGUUUUUCGAGUUUUCUUGUUUCAGCAAUUUUUAUUGAUUCUUAGCUAUAGGUUUUCAUUUGUUUGUCUUUAUUCUCCCUUUACACUAUCUAACACCUUAUUGUUUCUUGUGUUAGUAGGAUUUUUAAAGUGUGCACAAUUCUUCCUCAGUGCGACACAAAUUAGUUGGUGUCACGUCAGUUUUUUGGCAUCCUAGUGCAAAUUAGGAUUCUUUGGUAGUUCGGUUCAUACACUUUCUAAUUGGUUGAUAUAGACUCUACUAAAGAACUCACAAGACAGAAUUCUACCUCAUUGAGAAUUUGAUUUUUUCUUUUUGAGUGAUUAACGGUGAGGUUUGCUAACUUUUCUUUUUGAGUGUUGAGUGUUUAUUUUGCAGGUUUUUGAAAAUGUCUAAGGUUGGUCAAGGUGAUAAUGAUCAUAAUGAUGUCUACGACACAUUUACAAAAUUCCAACAACAGUUAGACGAACAAGCUGCCUUACUCAGAACUUUGAGUGCUACUUUAAAUGAGGUACGAUUGAAUCAAGAGCCUCAAUAUCGAGAUCCAAUUAAAGAAGAUAUGGAUAACCAGCCUCCUGCUCAUCGGUGCGGUCCUCGACGUGUCCCUAGAACUGACUCUGAUUUUCAUGAUCGUGGGCAGCCCUCUUUGGCAAAACCGAAGUUCACAAUUCCCCAAUUUCGUGGUAAGAAUGAUCCAGAAGCUUAUUGUGAAUGGGAAUCUAAAAUUGAACUUAUGUUUCGAUAUUAUAAAUGUCCGGAUGAUGAAAAGGUAGCGUUAGCAACGCUGGAAUUUUUAGAUUAUGCAUUAAGUUGGUGGACUCAAUUUAGGGUGAAUCGUCAUCGGAAUUAUGAAGGUGAGAUUUCGACAUGGGAGGAGUUGAAAUAGAUUAUACGUAAAAGAUUUAUUCCACCUCACUACUAUAGAGAGAUUAAAACAAAGCUGAGACGACUUGUUCAAGGUAGUAGGACGAUGGAUGAAUAUUUUAAGGAGAUGGAGACGCUCGUUCAGAGAGCUAAUGUGGAGAAGGAUGAGGAAACAACUAUGGUUCGAUUUAUUGAUGGUUUGAAUAGGCCGAUAGGUAAUACAUUGAGGCUACAAACUUACAUUGAUUUGGAAGAAGCAGUUCAUAAAACCAUUGAGAUCGAGCAACAACUAAAGGAACAAAGGUUUGGUUCCUUCUCUACUUCACAAUAUUACCUAGGUAACAAUUCCAAUUCUGAUUUUAAGAGUUCAAAAUCACCUUUUGUUACUAAUAAGUCUUCUUUGAGUAAUGGAAGUAAGCAAUCAGAUUGGAAAAAAGGGGCUCCUGUUAAAACGCAAACACCUUCUAAGCAGCCCAAUUUACGUGAUUCGAGUGUGAAGAGGACUCGUGAGAUUGAAUGCUUUAAGUCCAAAGGGCGUGGUCAUUAUAGUAGGGAAUGCCCUAACACGAGAUUACUUCUUCUGAAAGAUAAUGGUAAGUACACUUCCGACUCUGAUAAAACAGAUCCAGAUAUGCCAGAACUUGUGGAUGACAGUGAUAAUGGCGAAGAGUUGGUUGAACCACCAAAAGAAGGGGACUUUGCUGAUUUUCAAUGCCUUGUAGUUCGCCGAACCCUUAACAUCCAGAUGAAAGAUGAUGACAACCAAAGGACCAAUAUUUUCCAUUCUCGGUGUUUUAUUAAAGGUAACUUAUGUUCACUCAUUAUUGAUAGUGGGAGUUGCUCGAAUGUAGUGAGUAGCUAUUUGGUAGAUUCUUUAAAGUUGCCUUGUACCAAACACCCUAAGCCAUAUCACCUUCAGUGGCUUAACGAAUGUUCCGAAGUUAAAGUUACGAAACAGUCCUUGGUCACUUUUAAGCUCGAGAAUUAUGAUGAUGAAAUAUGGUGUGAUGUGGCCCCAAUGCAUGCGGCACACUUGCUCCUUGGACGGCCUUGGCAAUUUGAUCACGAUGUUACACACCAAGGUAAGCUUAAUCGAUACUCCUUUGUGUUUAAAGGUAGAAAAUUUAUUUUUGCUCCUUUAAAUCCCACUGAUGUAUAUAAAGAUCAAUUGAAGAUGAUGAAAUUUUGUGAGGGGGUAAGGGAGAAAGGACAAGUACAAAAGACAGAGAGAAAAGAGGCUAGUAGUGGAAAAAGUCAAAAUUUAAAAAGCCCAAAAGUGAGUGAAUCCACAAGUGGUAAAAUGAGCGGAAAAAAUUUUUUGCCAACAAAAAAAAUGUGAGGAGACCCCUACUCAAUAAACAGCCUUGUAUCCUUGUGAGGUUUAGGCAAAAUUAUUUAUCUUUAUCUAACAUUAACGAAAAUUUACCUAGUGUGUUUAAGUCUCUUUUGCAGGAUUAUGAGGAUGUUUUUAGUGAGGCCCCUAAAGGUUUACCACAUUUACGAGGGAUAGAGCAUCAAAUUGACUUAGUACCCAGAGCUUCAAUACCAAAUCGACCAACCUAUAGAUGCAAUCUCGAGGAGACAAAGGAAUUGCAAAGGCAAGUUGAGGAAUUACUAGACAAAGGGCACAUUCGUGAGAGCCUAAGUCCUUGUGCCAUUCCUGUCUUAUUGGUACCAAAGAAAGAUGGUACUAUCGAAUUUGUGUUGAUUGCCAUCCAAUCAACAAAAUAACGGUAAAGUAUCGACACCCAAUUCCUUUCAGUCAUAUUUACUAAAAUUGAUUUGAAAAACGGUUAUCAUCAAAUUCGAAUGAGGGAAGGGGAUGAAUGGAAAACAGCCUUUAAAACAAAAUUUGGAUUGUAUUAAUGGUUAGUUAUGUCUUUCGGCCUUACUAAUGCACCUAGUACAUUUAUGAGAUUAAUGAACCAUGUUUUAAGGCUUCACUUAGGUAAAUUCGUAGUAGUUUACUUUGAUGAUAUUUUCAUUUACUCCAAGACAUUAUAUGAUCAUGUUUUCCAUGUUAGAACCGUUUUGGAUAUUCUGCAAGCUGAAAAAUUAUUUGCCAACCUUGAUAAAUGCACAUUCUGUUGUGAUAAACUAAUAUUCUUAGGUUUCAUAGUUAGUGCACAAGGUAUUCAUGUCGAUGAGGACAAAGUCAAGGCAAUCAAGGAGUGGCCCUAAAUCGGUAACUGAGGUGAGAUCUUUCCAUGGUUUAGCUAGCUUUUAUAGACGAUUUGUGAAAGAUUUCUCUACUAUUGUUGCCCCAUUAACAGAGGUUAUAAAGAAAUCAGUGGGUUUCAAAUGGGGUGAAACCCAAGAAAAGGCUUUUUAGACCCUAAAAGCUAAGUUAUGUUUGCUCCUCUUCUUAAAUUACCUGAUUUUUCUAAUACUUUUGAACUUGAGUGUGAUGCUUCAGGAAUUGGAAUCGGUGCCGUUUUAAUGCAAGAUAAGCAACCUAUUACUUAUUUUAGUGAAAAUUGAAUGGUGCACAAUUAAACUACUCGACUUAUGACAAAGAACUAUUGGCAUUGGUUCGUGCACUUCAAGUAUGGCAACGUUACUUGCUGCCUAAUGAAUUUGUCAUACAUACAGAUCCUGAAUCCCUUAAAUGGUUAAAGGGACAAGGUAAGUUGGGUAAACGUCAUGCCCGAUGGGUAGAAUUCAUUGAAACAUUUCCUUAUGUGAUAAAAUAUAAAACAGGUAAAGAUAAUGUAGUUGCAGAUGCUUUGUCUAGACGAUAUGCUUUAAUAACUACAUUGAAUGCUAAAGUCUUAGGGUUUGAACACAUCAAGGAGUUAUAUGAUGAUGAUGCUAAUUUCGGCCAUAUCUAUAAGAAUUGUGGACUUACUACUUUUGAAAAGUUUUAUCUUGUAGAUGGCUUUCUUUUCGUAUAAACAGGUUGUACAUACCAAAGUGUUCCAUGAGAGACUUAUUGAUUCAUGAGGCCCAUAGUGGGGGUUUAAUGGGACAUUUUGGAGUGGCCAAAACACUAGACAUUUUGCAAGAACACUUCCAUUGGCCACAUAUGAAGAAAGAUGUCGAAAAGGUAUGUUCCAAGUGCAUUACAUGUAAACAAGCAAAAUCUAAGGUAAUGCCUCAUGGCCUUUACACUCCUUUACCGAUUCUUACUUCACCUUGGGUAGAUUUAUCCAUGGAUUUUAUUCUAGGUUUGCCUCGAACUAAGAAAGGAAGAGAUAGUAUAUUUGUUGUUGUUGACAAGUUUUCAAAGAUGGCACAUUUUAUUCCUUGUCACAAAACAAAUGAUGCUACACAUGUGGCAGACUUAUUCUUUAAAGAGGUGGUAAGACUUCAUGGCAUCCCUAAAACAAUUGUUUCUGACAGAGAUGUCAAAUUCUUUAGCCACUUUUGGAAGGUCUUGUAGGGUAAGCUUGGUACUAAAUUACUUUAUUCCACUACAUGUCACCCUCAAACUGAUGGCCAAACUGAAGUAGUUAAUCGGAUCUUAGGGACAUUAUUACGAUCUGUUGUGGGAAAGAACAUUAGAAAUUGGGAAGAAUGCCUACCAUUUGUUGAAUUUGAAUAUAAUAGAUCUAUUCAUUCUACAACUGGUUAUUCUCCAUUUGAACUUGUUUAUGGCUUUAACCCACUAACAGUACUUGAUCUUGCGCCAUUACCACUUGAACACAUUGUUAAUUUAGAUGGCGAACAGAAAGCUGAGUUGGUGAAAUCCUUACAUGAGAAGGCUAGGCAACGAAUAGCCAAAACUAAUGAUGCCAACACCAACAAAGCAAACAAGGGGCGCAAACGGGUUCUCCUAGAACCUGGAGAUUAGGUUUGGGUCCAUUUGAGGAAAGAACGAUUUCCCACAAAAAGAAAGACCAAGUUGGACCCAAUGGGUGAUAGGCCUUUCCAAGUACUCGAGCGGAUCAAUGACAAUGCCUAUAAAAUUGAUCUACCUGGUAAGUACAAUGUAAGUUCUACUUUUAAUGUGGCUGACUUGUCCCCAUUUGAUUUUUCAGAUUCGAGGCCGAAUCAUUUUGAGAAAUGGGGGAAUGAUACGAGUCACAAAGGUCCAACCCAAGACCAAGAACGUGAUGGGCUCAAAUUACCACAAGGUCCAAUAACGAGAUCAAAGGCACGACAAAUACGUUUCAAACUAAACGGGACCAUUCAGGAGUUUGUUAGCAAGGCCUUAGAUGCGUACAUGAAAGAAAGAGAAAAUCAAGAUUCACUUUCUUGAUUUCAAGAAAAUCUAGAAACCGAAUCUUGGCCCAAUCUUGCUGUUUGGAGCGAUUUCAAGAAUCAAGAAAAUCAAGAUUUCAAAUCUUGGAAAACUUCGUCCAAGAAACUAAAUCUUGCAGCCAAAGCGCAUUGGAUCUCCGUUACGAGCAUCAACGAACCAAUUUCGGUAGGAGAUGGAAUACAAGCCCAAGUUCUUGAAGGCAAGGCCCAAUAAGAUUAUUCCAAGCCCAACCAAGAAGACAAACCAUACUUACUUGAAAAUCAGGCCAAAUUGUCAAAGUGGCCCAAUUUGUAAAGUUUUAUUUUUUAAAAAUACUUAGUUUAAAUUGUUAUGUAAAUAUUCAGUCCAAGAGGCCCAAUUAACAGGCCUUGGCUGAAUUUCCAUUUAAAAUUAAAAUAAUUAGGAGUGUUUUUAGUUUUAGUUUUCUAUUCAGAUUAGGAAAACAUUUGAAAGGCCUAUAUAAAGGCUUGGCCGGCCACCUUGUUAGACACUUUCUCAAUUAUAUUAAAAAUUUCAGAUUUGUUUAAGUGCAGAAUUCUCCUUGAGUUUUUCUCCAAGAAUUCUCUCUUGAGUUUUCUUUUGAAGUUGUUUUAACAAUCUUUUGAUUGUGGGAGCCAUCUUCAGUCUUCUUCUUGCCAUUGAUAUUCUUUGGAAGGGAGAUUAGAGCCGUUUGAAGGGAGUUGUGAGAUCUUUCGGGAUUUCAAAGCUUCUUAGGACUUAUCUUUUAAUUUCUUGCUGUCAAUUUUUUCUUUUAAAAUCUUCUUGUGUCGAUUUUAUUUAAUCACUUUGUUUGCUGUUCUUGUUGCGUUUCAGGCGUUCCAAAGCAUUCCAAAUCUGAUUCGCCUUCUUCUUUACUAAAGAUCGGAUCGCCUUAUUUGUUCUUGGCAGCAAAAAUUCGUUCAAAAUCCCUAAAUUCCUUGUUCUUGCCGAUUUCUUCUUUUCAGAUUUGGGUUGUUUUAAUUGCUGGAAUUUUGGGGAAAUUUAAGUUGUUGUUUGUCUUUCUUUUCAGAUUCGGCAGAUUGGAGUAUUCUUUGGGGUUCAAUUACAUGUUCUUGAUUCCCCAAGAACCCUUAUUAACAUUUAUUCCUAUUCUCAAUUUGAUUCUUUGCUGAUUUGGGGAUUUUUAUUUCAGAUCUGGAAAUUCAAAGUUCUAAUCUUUUAAUUUCUGUUUCGUUUCAGAUCUGUUCGUUUAGAGCCUCGUAGGAGUUUUUCGUGACUUGGCAACUCGAUCUUGGUCCGCGCACAACCCCCUAUCAUUAACAAUACUGACUAGAGAGUAACCAAAACCAAAAAUGGGGUCUUCAAAUAGCAAAUCCCCACUAUAUUUCGAAGAGAAUCAACAGUUCUAUGGUGGGCAUGAAAGCGACAGUCUUCUGCAGCCGCCGCUUCUACCAACGCCGGAGCUUCUCAACCCAGAAGCCAUCCUCUUCUCGAUUUGAACCCUCUUGCACCAUUGCUUGCGAUGUUUUGUUACCAAAUUAGCCAAUGAAGUGUAAGGCGCCAUAUGCAUGAAACUCCUUCGCUAUCUCUUUUGCAGACCAAGUAAGGGCACUUAUAUCUGAGAAAUCUUGUUCGUGGUUGUUAAUAUUCCUGAUAAAAGAUCUUGAAUCUCCCUCGACUAUUAUUGACAGAAAACCUAAAUAUUUAGCAAAUCGAAGUACAUGUAUCACCGCAACUGCUUCUGCUGCAAAGACUAAAAGAAUAGGGUAAGUGAUUUUGCAACAAGCCUCCAUAAUCUCCCCAUUUUCAUCUCAAAUUACAACCCCUACUGCAGCCUUCUUUUGAUUUAAUCUAAACCCAGCAUCAUGUUUAGUUUAACCAAACCUGUAGGUGGUGGAGACUACCGAGCUUGAAAUUGGAGGCUACACCACUGUCCGUAAGGAUCACAAAGACCAACUCCACACAAUAGUUGCGGAUGGAGCUGACAAUCUCACCUACACUCUAGUGUUCCCUUGUGCACCAUAUGAUUCCGAGCAAACUAUAUAGCCCACAUUGUACCACAAAUUUCAUUAUGUUUUGUUGUAUGAUACAUCUUUAGUAUCCAUGAAAGCCACUCAUGGAAAUCCAUUUGAGUACUAGCCACAUGCAAUGGGUAACCCAACAUUACCCACACAUUUCUCGCACUAGCACAAAAUCUUAGCACAUGGUUCACUGUCUCGUGAUCAACAUUACACCUCGAAUAGAUUGGAUUAUUUGUAACACUUCUAUUGUAUAGGCAUGAUCUAGUGGCUACAAAACCAUGAACAAAUUUCCACAAAACUAUUUUGAUUUUUGAGGGACAUCUAGUUGCCCAAAUUUGCUUGAAAAUUUCAUGCCCAAAUGAUAAGGGAGUCGGUGGCUAGAGUAAUAAAUGAUAUCCGCUAUGAACAGAGUAUAUACCCGAGCGUUCAUCACCCCAAAUGAGACAAUCCUCUUGAUGAAUAGACAGUAAAGGAAUACCCUGGAUAAGGAUUGCAUCAUCAUCUACAAAAAGCAAGUUAAUCAAAUCCUGGUUCCAACCUAUUCCAUUCAGAAAAAAAAAGCUUAGACACCCUAUCAAUGUUACCCGAUCUGGGGGUUUGACCUCUUCUAGGCAAAGACCUUGGCACUCAACAACCUCCUAAAUGUUAAUUCUAUCGCCCAUCCCCACAUUCCAUUUAAGCCCUAUCUCAACUAAUUUCCUAGCACUCUAGAUGCUCUUCCAAACGGGUGAUGGAUUGGAGCCCAACUAAGCAAUAAGAGACCUUGUAUUGGGAAAGUAUUUGGCCCUUAGGAUACGCGCCAUCAACAACGUAGGAUGCAUUAAGAUUCUCUACAUCUUCUUUGCUAGUAGGGCUACAUUAAACUUCGUAAGAUCCCUAGACCCCAACCCUCCAUCAUCCUUUAGUUUGCUAAAAAACAACUAACUACAUCAAUGGAUGCCUCUCUUGUUAGCCGCCUUCUGCCACCAAAACUGAGCUAGGGCGCCUUUAAUUUCUUUAUAGAAAGUUUGUGGCAAGAGGAAACACAUCAUUGCGGAAUGUUGGGAUUGCUUGGAGAAUGGAUUAUAUGAAUACCUCUCUUCUACCUAUUAAUAACAGCCUCGUACUCCAAGAAGAUAUUCGACUUCGAAUUUUAUCCCUUAGGUUAGCAAAGGCCCGCUUCUUGUUCCAACCUACCAUACAUGGUAAACCUAAAUAUUUCUCUAAGUUGUCAGCAUGAUGAACCCCCAGAAUUCUCUCCACAUCCAACCUAUUCCUCAUGUCAACAUUUGAACUAAAGAAAACACUGGAUUUUUCAAAAUUGACUAGCUAACCUGAACACUUGGCGUAUGAUUGAAACACCUUUAAGACAUUUGUACGGAUGGAUGAGUUCAUGGGAACUCCUAGUGAUGUGUGUAGCAAAAUUAGGAAAGAUUUUUCUUUUGAUAUAUUGAAAUUGCAUUGUCAUUUAUAAACAUGUGCAUACAAAAUUGUGAAUUCCAAAAUAUUAUAAUGAUGUGUUGAUCUAUAAAAUUGUUACUAUGACUUGCUAUAUGAAUGUGAUUGUUCUAAAGAACUGUCAGUUCGCAUGCUUUAUUACACCGAUUUUCUUGUGAUUUGACUCACACUGAGCUUCUUAAGUUCACCCCCUUUAAUUUCCAUAUUUAUAGAUAACCCACCAGGUUAGGACACGAACACGGCAUCUAGUCGGCUUGGCUCGGAUAGUUUUUAUUUUAUUUAUUUAAAAAUAUUUCAGUUUUACAUUAUAAUUUAUGUUAUCUGGAACUGUAUUGAUUUAUUUGAACUGUAGCAUGGGACUUUAGUUUUGGGUUUAUUUGGCAUGCAUGACAUUUAAUUUGAUUUUAGGAUAUUGAAAUAUGGAUUUUGAAUUAAUUAUGCAUGAAAUGUGGUUUUCCUUAAAACUAUGAUAAAAAUCAUUUUUCCACUGCAUGACUAUGUAGAAGAGGUUUGAAAGAUAUAUAUAACUGGAAUUCAACUUUUGCAAAACAAUCAUUAAAAUUGAUCUGUUUUGAAAUUAAAUUGUACAUUUUGAAAACAAGCAAAUUUUUUCUUCAAAAAUUGAAAGAAAUGUUUUAAACAAACUGUUUUUAAACUCCGAUAAUGUUUCUAGGCCAUUUCAGUGGCCAAUAUAAUCUUUCGAAUUCAGACCUAACGUCUGACCGGGUUGGGGAGGUUACAUAGAUCUAACAAUAAAGAGGGUUUUUUUUUCCUUCUAACAAACAAUGAGAAAAAAAAAGAAAAGAAAGAAGGAUUGAUGGAUUAUCUAAGCAAUAAAAACUUUAUCCUCUACAAAGUUAUCAAUUAUAAUUAGAUUAUGACACGUUCACGAUGUGGAUGAAAAAUAAAAUUAUAUAAAAAUAUAUAUUUAUAAAAAUAUUGAUAUAUAUAUAUAUAAUAAAGUUUUAGUUGAAUGGUAAAGUACAAAUGUGAAAUUUAAAAUGUAUGAAUUUGAAUCCUUUUAUAUGUGUUUUUUUCCUAUCUUUUUAUAUAAAAAUAUAAAAUAACAAAAACAAUCUAAAAAUAAUAUAAUUUAGUUUGUAAAUUGAAGGCAUUUCAUCUUUUUUUUUCAUUUAAGUUGGUAUUCGAUUAACUUGUAAAACCAACUCCAUCAAGAACUUUGUAAUAAGUAUAGUUAAAAGAAUUUAACAAAACAUUCCCCAAUGCUAUAUAAUUUUGACAUUCAAACUAAUAUUAAACUUUUUUUAUUGAUCGAAUCUUAAUUCAGUUGAUAUAAUUUUAUUGAAAUUUUUUGAAGGUUAUAGGUUUGAGUGGAUUUAGGUGUAAAAUGUUUUAAUGUUAUUAUUUAUACUAUUAUUUAAGUAUUUGAUUGAAUUGGUGUCACGAGUCAACUUGGCACCAAUUUGAUUAGAAAAUUAUGAAAAUGUCCUUAUAUAAUUAAACUAAGUUAUAUUAUUUGAGGGUACUUUAGUAAUUUAUUUUUAACAAAAACCAAUGAAAAAUAUGCAUCUUGUGGGAUUUGAAUCCCCGCCAAUUAAAUUUGUAAACUUUAAACUUACCACAUAACCAAAGUUUCAUUUUGAUAAUUUUAUACAUUUUUAUUUUAAUAUGCACAAUUUAUUACCUCCAUCAAUUGUAUAUUUAGUAUUUUUAAUUUAAUGGAUUUAUGUUUUAAAAAUUCGUUUUACUCACAAUUUAAUAUAAUUUUUCAUUUUAAUAUCGUACAUAUUUCAUGUGUUAUUACUUAAUUUGUUUCAAAUCCUACGUUUCAUUAUUUAUUGUAUGUUAUUUUUAAACAUUUUUUUGUCUUCUAAAUACGUGAUUUCCAUAGGCAUACGCGUGUGAUAAAAUUUCUAAUAAUCAAUUAGGAAUUUGAGAUUAACCUUAGAUUAAAAAUGUAUAAACAAAUUGGGAUAAGGUAAUAUUUAGUCCCUGAACUUUUUUUUUGUCCAUAUUAAUCCUUAAACUUGGCAACUUUUCUCGUUUUUGGUUCAUAUGAUGAUGUCACACUUUAAUAUUAUGUCAUGUCAUCAUCUAAAAUUUUUUUGUAAAAAAUUAUAACUUUUUAAUUGAUGAUGUAGCGUAAUAUUAAAGUAUCAAAAUCGACAUUUUUCAAAACUAACAUGGAUUAAAAAAAAUUUCAAAGGCUAAAUUAAAAAAAAUUGAAAAGUUUCUACCUAAUUUAACUUUUUUAGGAAAGCUAUGCUAUUUUCCUAUACAUUGAUUCAAGAAAAACUAAUAUAAUAUGUAUAAAUAGAUUGUAAUUUUUUUCUAAUCCAUAUUUUUUUAUAAUGAAAAUAUCAUUUUUAAUUUUAUAUUUAAUAAUAAUUUUUGUUUAUUUAUUUUAAAAAAUCAGUAUUCAUGCAAUAGCAAUUUAAUCGAAUAUUUUAUUUAGAAUAUUGAUAAUGUCGAGCAAAAUUCUAAAGAUAUACCACAAAUGACUAUAGUGGUAAAGUAAGAAGAAGCAAGAAAAACUGCCCCACGUUUUGGGUGACCUCAAACUUUCUUUUCAGAUAUUGUUAGAUGGGAACAUAGAUAUAAUUUGUUGUAGAUGGUUACAUUCCACAAUUAUGGGGGGUGACACACCACAGCACUAGUGAUUCUUUUGUCUUUAUCAACACGUGAAGACGGGGCUUGUUAAGGUUUUAUCUUUAUGUAUUAUUCUUUUCUCUUCCUUUUCUCCUCGCGAAUCUCGUUGCCCUUUGUCCUCAACUACAACUGCGCCUAUCAAGCUGCUUUUCUUGCCUUUUGUCCUGCUUUAUCUCGCCUCCCAGAUUUUCUCUUCGCAUAUUGGAAUACCUCCUUACAUUCUCUUGUGCAUGAGCACUAUAUUUUGCUCGAUAAAAUAUCCCUAGUGAGCCUUAGACAUAGAUAUCUUAGUUCAAUUCAAGGAGUUAGAUGCCAUAAUGUUGCCUUACCUACACCAAUUCGUACGAUAUACCAAUUCAUCUAAACCUCAAUCAUAAUCUUAGGAUUAAGACAACUUACGUAUAUGAGCUAAGGCCCCAUUGAGAGAAGUAAGCAAGAGCGUUCCCACCAAAAUCAAGUGACUCCCAUCUCUUUACAUAUGACCUUUGACUAUCAUAUAGCUCUUCACCUUGCAAUAUUUUUUUGUGUAUCAACAAUGUAUUAUUAUUUAGUUCACUAAUAGUGAAUAGAACUAUACAUUAUAGGUAUACAUUCUGUGUAUCAACAAUGUAUCAUAUAAAUCCUUACAGAAAUAUGUUAUUUUUACUUCUAAACAAAAUUUUAGAAUAAAAUCAUCUUUAAUAGUUUAAUUUAAAAUUUAAGAGAUUAUCCACAUUUAUUUAUUUAUUUAUUUAUUUUUAAGAAAAAGGAAAAACAUAAAAGUAAUAUAUAUAUAUAUAUAUGUAAGUUCUACACCAGAUACUUUCAUAUCUGUAUCUUCUAUUCUCUCUCAUCUUAGAGUAAAAGUAACGUAUUCAACUCCAAAACUGAACACAUGACUACUUGAGAAAGAAAAGAAAAAAAAAACACAAAGAAUAAGAAAUGUGUAGAAAGAUUGGCAAUUGGCACAAAAUGGUUUAAAUGAAAACUUGGUCCCCACUUUUAAGUAUUUAAUUUCCCCCCUUAUCAAAUAUUUUCUUCCUUUCUCUUGCAUCAUGUACCAUGUCUUUUUUAACCCUAAAUUAAUAUCAAAUAGUUUCAUAAAAAAAAAAGACAUGGGGGAGUUUUAAUUGAUUUAAAAGUUUUGUCUUUUAAAUUUAUUUAAUUAAAUAAAACUAUUUUUGUAUUUUUUUUAUUUAUGAUUAAAUGAUGUGUUUUAAUUUGAUUGGCUCAAAAUUUUUGUAAUAGAGUAAAUGGUUGGACAAAAAUGAUAAGGAGACCAAAGUUUAAGUACUGCUUUUAAUAAAUAAAUAAAAAUGCUUAAAUACUUGAAGCUUUAAAUUGUCAAUUCUCAUAGUCCGAGUGAAUGUGGCCAAAAUUAAUUGCACCAACCUAUUUUAAUUUCUCCUCAAACUUUAAAAUAUUUUAAUUAUAUAUUUAAACUAUCCAUGCUCCGUUUUUAAAUUAAUUAAUUUAACCGUUACAUAGAACGUUAAUCUUAGUCAACAUAAUUUAAAAUAAAAAAAAUUUAAAAAUAAAUAGUGUAAAGUUGGAUGUUGUAAAAGACAACAAAUCUUACUAUAUUAAAUAUAAAAAUUUUGAUUUUGAGGUUUUCCAAGUUUUUACAAAGAGUAUCAUUCACUCUUUCUCUCUUUUUGUUUUACUUUAUUUUUAGUUUUAAAUAUUAAAAGUUAUAUGGAAAAAUUUUGCUUUUCUUUAAAAAUUUUAUAUUAAAUUAUAUGACACAUAAGAUUUUACGUGUCAUUUAAUAGUUAAAUUAACGGUUUCAAUAAUGGAAGUACCCAAUUAAUAUAAUAUUGAUAAUUUAAAGACUAAUUUAAAAUGAGUCAUAAUUUAGGGAUGUUUGAUGCAACUAACUAAUAAGUUCCACAUUUUUAAUUUUUAUAAUUAAGAUAAAUUACUAUAUUAACGUGGCAAAUGUUUUCUAGUGGCCUUCAAUUCUUUUUUUCUUUUUUUUAAGUCUAUUUGCUUUAGUUUUUUAAAAAUUAAAAUUUUUAUUAUGUAUUUCCAUAUAUAGAUAAUUUCUACUCGAAGUAAUAAUUUUAAAAAAUAAAAUAAAUGAUUUUACAUAAAAACCAUUUUUUAUGGAAAAAUAUUAAGAAUGCUUUAGUACUAAACUAUAUAUGGUUUUCUUCCCUUUUUUUUAAUUUUUUAAAAUUUUUCUAAUAAUCGAGUCAAGUGGUUUCAUGUAUUCAAUUAAGAGUUACUUUGAUUCGCGUUAGGGGUGUGCAUAAUUCGGGUAAAACCGAAAAAAUUCGGUUAAUCAACCGAAUUCAAUUAAUCGGUCGGUUAACCGAAUUUUUUCGGUCGGGAGUCGGUUAAUUUUUUUAUGAUUUUUCGGUUAACGGUUAAUUCGGUUCGAAACCGGUCGGUUAACCGAAAAUUUUCGGUUAACCGAAAAAUUAAUAAAUAAAAUUAUCCAACCCAGCCCAAACUCAAUUACCCAACCCAAUUACCCAACCCAAUAAAACUAAAACUAAAGUUUACCCAAUUACCCAAUCCAAUAAAACUAAAACUAAAAGACAACCCAAUUUACUAAAGUCUAAAACUCAAUUUACUUUAAUAAUUUAUAAAUUUUUUAAAUUUUAAAAAUAAAAAAUAAAAACAAUUUGGGUAAUUCGGGUAUUUUUCGGUAAUUCGGUUAAUUCGGGUAAUUCGGGUAAUUUUUAACCAAAAAUAAAAAAUACAUAAUUUUCGGUUAAUUCGGUUAACCGACCUUAUUAACCGAAAAAAUUUCGGUUCGGUUAAUUUUUUUUAAAAAAAAUCGGUUCGGUUAACGGUUAAAAUUUUUGGAAGGUCGGUUAACCGAAUGAACACCCCUAAUUCGCAUUCUUUCUAAAUUUAAAAUUGAGUUUUUCUACUUUUAUUCCAAAAAAAAUUAUUUUUUUAUUUUUAAAAUUUAAAAUUUUAAAUUCAAUUGUUAAUCUGUAAAAAAAAGUUAUUAAAUUUAAAUUUAUUAUAAAAUCAUUUUUUAAUUGUAUGGCUAUGAAGUGAAUUUUUUUAUUAUUUAAAAAUUUUAUAUCCAUAAAUUUAAAAAAAUUAAUAAUGUUAAUAAUUUGAAUUGAAUUUUAAAAUAGAAAUAAAUUAUUUAUGAUAUUUUAAAAUAUUAUUUCAACUUAUUUGUCUUGUUUAGGGGUGUAAACUAGUAUAUAAUGGAGGUGCGUAUUGCAAUAUCAGAACAACGACACAACACAAAACAAACCGAAACACACAAAGCUUAGCUACGUACGUACACCAUCACCAUGACUGCCAAUUCAACCCUGCUAGCAACACAAUGCGCGGCUGUUGUGGCCGUCCCACAGCGGUGCCAUCCCCCCUCUAGAUUUGCCACUGGGUACCAGCAGCUUCGUACAAAUUUGGUAACCACCAAAACAUACAAACCUACAAUCAUGGCUGCCGGUGCCUUGGUCUCCAAACCAUCCCAACUUCAUGCAAAUUUGGUACCCAAAAGAAACAAAAUGGUGGUAUUUGCCUAUCCAGAAACAAAAACAAUAGAAAUCUCAACCAAUGGCUUUCCAGAAUUCAUUAAAUGCAUAAUUAAUAACGAAAGUAAGAAAACGCUAGAACUGGAUUCGACUGAACCAUUUCUGGGGUCUGAGGAAUUUGAGAAGAUCG
RNAcentral lists this long non-coding RNA (26408 nucleotides) under Gossypium barbadense (sea-island cotton). Its description in RNAcentral is "long non-coding RNA (GBAR_LNC016353)". Lineage: Eukaryota; Viridiplantae; Streptophyta; Magnoliopsida; Malvales; Malvaceae. The record is from RNAcentral.